CACAGGUGAAGGGGGGAUAUGUGGGUGUUCCACUGUCUACCCCCAAGAAAGAAUCUGAUGAUCUCGAGAAAACGUAUGAGAUUUUGUGCUCUGAUGCGAAAGAAGGAAAGAAAAUUGUUAUGUUAGGUUCACAAGAGGUUGAGGAUUUUUCAGAUUUGUUUUACACCUCUGUGUCUGUACAUGGGAAAGUGCAGCUUAAGGGCAUGCUUGACACUAGGUCUAUGGCCUGUACAUUGAGUGAGCAUGCGGAGCAGAGACUUUUGGAAGCAGGUGCCCUUCCUCAGCAUUAUCAGCCUCCUACAGAGUUAGUAUUAGUGGGGUGUGGGGGGAAGCAGACCUCAACAAAGCAUUUCUAUGAUUUGGAGAUGCAAAUCUACGGGAUUGAUGUUAAAGUGCCCACCCUAGUUGUUCCUGGACAGCGUGAUGAUCUUAUCCUGGGAUCGAAUGUCAUUAAGCAUCUAUUGCAUGAGAUGAAAGGCACUGACGAAUACUGGAAGCUCGUCAACAACAUGGAUGGCAAGACCCACUCACCAGAGGGUGAGCAGUUUCUGCAGAUGAUGACAAGUGUCACAAGAUGGAAGGGACAGCAAGUCGAUGGCAAGAUUGGGACAGUGAAGCUCACUCAAGCUGUGACUCUUUCGCCCAAGACUGAACACUUAGUUUGGGGUAAACUUCCUAAAAAUUUGGCAUUGUCUCCAGGCAGCACUGUAAUAGUCGAGCCUGCGAGGUCAAAGGUCAUGCCCAGAAACAUACUCGUGGGUAGAGUUAUUACACCCAUGUGGGGAGAUGGCUGGGUCCCUUUAAAGGUAGUAAACUGUUCUGACAAACAUCUUACCCUAAGACGUAACAUGAAGCUGGCCGAUGUGUCUUCAUGCUUGGCUGUUGAGGAUGCAACAAUCUUUCAGGGCCUUCAUGAAGUGAGGAAAACCCCAAUGGAACAGAAGCAGGAUGACAAUGGCUGCCACAAUCUGAAACAAAGACUGUCUGAUCUAGGAUUAGUAGACAUUGACAUUGAUGGAUGCCAGGUAACUGACCAGUGGAAGGAGAAGCUUGUGAAUACCAUCACAAAAUAUGAAGACA
Molecule: long non-coding RNA, 1080 nt
Filed under: Salmo trutta (river trout)
Lineage: Eukaryota; Metazoa; Chordata; Actinopteri; Salmoniformes; Salmonidae
Description: lncRNA (ENSSTUG00000048797.1)
Source: RNAcentral